AGGGCUAUCGCCAAGCGGUAAGGCACAGCACUUUGACUGCUGUAUUCGUUGGUUCGAAUCCAACUAGCUCUGCUA
RNAcentral lists this transfer RNA (75 nucleotides) under Agathobacter rectalis. RNAcentral describes it as "[Eubacterium] rectale tRNA-Gln". It matches the Rfam family "tRNA". Rfam says of the family: Transfer RNA (tRNA) molecules are approximately 80 nucleotides in length. Their secondary structure includes four short double-helical elements and three loops (D, anti-codon, and T loops). The record is from RNAcentral. Lineage: Bacteria; Bacillati; Bacillota; Clostridia; Lachnospirales; Lachnospiraceae.